Molecule: ribosomal RNA, 394 nt
Filed under: uncultured bacterium
Lineage: Bacteria
Description: bacterial SSU rRNA
Rfam family: Bacterial small subunit ribosomal RNA
Source: RNAcentral
UGGGGAAUAUUGGACAAUGGGCGCAAGCCUGAUCCAGCCAUGCCGCGUGAGUGACGAAGGCCUUAGGGUUGUAAAGCUCUUUUGAUGGGGACGCGGUACCCAUAGAAUAAGCCCCGGCUAACUUCGUGCCAGCAGCCGCGGUAAUACGAAGGGGGCUAGCGUUGUUCGGAAUUACUGGGCGUAAAGCGCACGUAGGCGGAUUUGUUAGUCAGAGGUGAAAUCCCGGGGCUCAACCCCGGAACUGCCUUUGAUACUGCAAGUCUUGAGUUCGAGAGAGGUGAGUGGAAUUCCUAGUGUAGAGGUGAAAUUCGUAGAUAUUAGGAAGAACACCAGUGGCGAAGGCGGCUCACUGGCUCGAUACUGACGCUGAGGUGCGAAAGCGUGGGGAGCAAAC